RNAcentral lists this ribosomal RNA (614 nucleotides) under Polymyxa graminis. RNAcentral's name for it is "bacterial SSU rRNA". The stretch from base 1 to 323 matches the Rfam family "Eukaryotic small subunit ribosomal RNA", at positions 1508 to 1831 of the family's 1831-position model. Lineage: Eukaryota; Endomyxa; Phytomyxea; Plasmodiophorida; Plasmodiophoridae. The record is from RNAcentral.
AGGUUCAACGAGUCUGCGACUUGGCCGAGAGGCCNGGUUAAUCUUGUGAAAUCCUAGCGUGCUUGGGCUUGCCUCUUGCAACUAGAGGCACCAACGAGGAAUUCCUAGUAGACGCAGGUCAUCAACCUGCAUCGAUUACGUCCCUGCCCUUUGUACACACCGCCCGUCGCUUCUACCGAUUGGUCGUCCCGGUGAACAGUCGGGAGGGCGCGCGCCAGGUCAGCAAUGGCCGGCGCGCGUCCGAACUUUUGUAAAUUUGGACGACUAGAGGAAGAAGAAGUCGUAACAAGGUUUCCGUAGGUGAACCUGCGGAAGGAUCAUUAGCGUUGGAUGGUUUUGCGCCAUUGUCGGAAAAUGUGGUGCGUUGCGCUCGGUUUCGGUACACGUGUCUCGCGGGGGACACGGCAUUUUUGCGAAUUGGAUCGGUUGGCUAAAGUCGAAUUGGUUGCAAAACCACAAACACAUGUACAACUCUUAGCAAUGGAUAUCUUGGUUCCCACAACGAUGAAGAACGCAGCGAAAUGCGAUACGUAAUGCGAAUUGCAGAAUUCAGUGAAUCAUCGAAUCUUUGAACGCAAGUUGCGCUUUCGAGAGCCCUCGGAAGCAUGCCUCUC